This 1023-nucleotide ribosomal RNA is filed under the name Alternaria sp. NIOCC C10. Its description in RNAcentral is "SSU rRNA". It matches the Rfam family "Eukaryotic small subunit ribosomal RNA", at positions 74 to 1107 of the family's 1831-position model. Lineage: Eukaryota; Fungi; Ascomycota; Dothideomycetes; Pleosporales; Pleosporaceae. The record is from RNAcentral.
UUAUACAGCGAAACUGCGAAUGGCUCAUUAAAUCAGUUAUCGUUUAUUUGAUAGUGCCCAUCUACAUGGAUAACCGUGGUAAUUCUAGAGCUAAUACAUGCGUAAAAGCGCGACUUCGGGAGCGCUGUAUUUAUUAGAUUAAAGACCAAUGCCCUCCGGGGCUCACUGGUGAUUCAUGAUAACUCCUCUGAUCGCACGGCCUUGCGCCGGCGACGGCUCAUUCAAAUUUCUGCCCUAUCAACUUUCGACUUUAGUGUAGUGGACUAAAGUGGUUGCAACGGGUAACGGAGGGUUAGGGCUCGACCCCGGAGAAGGAGCCUGAGAAACGGCUACUACAUCCAAGGAAGGCAGCAGGCGCGCAAAUUACCCAAUCCCGACACGGGGAGGUAGUGACAAUAAAUACUGAUACAGGGCUCUUUCGGGUCUUGUAAUCGGAAUGAGUACAAUCUAAAUCCUUUAACGAGGAGCAAUUGGAGGGCAAGUCUGGUGCCAGCAGCCGCGGUAAUUCCAGCUCCAAUAGCGUAUAUUAAAGUUGUUGUGGUUAAAAAGCUCGUAGUUGAACCUGGGCCCCGUCCCGGCCGGUCCGCCUCACCGCGUGCACUGGUUCGGGAGGGGCUUCGCACCUUGGGGGUACGCAUGCCCUUCGCUGGGCGUGCGGGGAACCAGGACUUUUACUGUGAAAAAAUUAGAGUGUUCAAAGCAGGCCUAUGCUCGAAUACAUUAGCAUGGAAUAAUAAAAUAGGACGUGCGGUUCUAUUUUGUUGGUUAUGGGACCGCCGUAAUGAUUAAUAGGGACAGUCGGGGGCGUCAGUAUUCGGUGGUCAGAGGUGAAAUUCUUGGACCCACCGAAGACUAACUACUGCGAAAGCAUUCGCCAAGGAUGUUUUCAUUAAUCAGGAACGAAAGUUAGGGGAUCGAAAACGAUCAGAUACCGUUGUAGUCUUAACCAUAAACUAUGCCGACUAGGGAUCGGGCGAUGUUGCUUACUGACUCGCUCGGCACCUUUCGAGAAAUCAAAGUCUG